GAUGAACGCUAGCGGCAGGCCUAAUACAUGCAAGUCGAACGAUAGAAGAGGGCUUGCUCUCUUCGAAAGUGGCGCACGGGUGCGUAACGCGUAUGCAACCUACCUUAAUCAGGGGGAUAGCCCGAAGAAAUUCGGAUUAACACCGCAUAAAAUCACAGUACAGCAUUGUACAAUGAUCAAAUAUUUAUAGGAUUAAGAUGGGCAUGCGUGACAUUAGCUGGUUGGCGGGGUAACGGCCCACCAAGGCGACGAUGUCUAGGGGAUCUGAGAGGAUGACCCCCCACACUGGUACUGAGACACGGACCAGACUCCUACGGGAGGCAGCAGUAAGGAAUAUUGGUCAAUGGAGGCAACUCUGAACCAGCCAUGCCGCCUGCAGGAAGACGGCCCUCUGGGUUGUAAACUGCUUUUAUUCGGGAAUAAACCUCAUUAUGUAUAGUGAGCUGAAUGUACCGAAGGAAUAAGGAUCGGCUAACUCCGUGCCAGCCGCCGCUGUAA
Molecule: ribosomal RNA, 498 nt
Filed under: uncultured bacterium
Lineage: Bacteria
Description: partial 16S ribosomal RNA
Rfam family: Bacterial small subunit ribosomal RNA
Source: RNAcentral